Non-coding RNA from Rhodotorula graminis WP1, 111 nucleotides. The record is from the annotation of a RefSeq genome assembly. Lineage: Eukaryota; Fungi; Basidiomycota; Microbotryomycetes; Sporidiobolales; Sporidiobolaceae.
GGCCGCGUAGUUCAGUGGUUUAGAAUGCACCCCUCCUACCACCUCGUCGGUUCUUCCCAGAGCAGUCGAGAGGACAGGGUGUGGUCGACGGUUCGACCCCGUCCGUGGUCG